This 449-nucleotide ribosomal RNA is filed under the name uncultured bacterium. Its description in RNAcentral is "bacterial SSU rRNA". It matches the Rfam family "Bacterial small subunit ribosomal RNA", at positions 328 to 794 of the family's 1533-position model. The record is from RNAcentral.
UUUCCAGACUCCUACGGGAGGCAGCAGUGGGGGAUAUUGCACAAUGGGGGGAACCCUGAUGCAGCGACGCCGCGUGGGUGAAGGAGUGCUUCGGCAUGUAAAGCUCUAUCAGCAGGGAAGAAGAUGACGGUACCUGACUAAGAAGCCCCGGCUAACUACGUGCCAGCAGCCGCGGUAAUACGUAGGGGGCAAGCGUUAUCCGGAUUUACUGGGUGUAAAGGGAGCGUAGACGGCGGCGCAAGCCAGAUGUGAAAGCCCGGGGCUCAACUCCGGGACUGCAUUUGGAACUGUGUGGCUGGAGUGUCGGAGAGGCAGGCGGAAUUCCUAGUGUAGCGGUGAAAUGCGUAGAUAUUAGGAGGAACACUAGUGGCGAAGGCGGCCUGCUGGACGAUGACUGACGUUGAGGCUCGAAAGCGUGGGGAGCAAACAGGAUUAGAUACCCCGGUAAA